CAAACAAACAGUGACGUCCAGAGCUCUGCUGGAGCUGUGGGGAAGUUCAUGAAUGUUACAGCUGAUGUUUCAGAAAAAAAGGAAGAUGUUUGAGAACCAACAAAACACAGAGCACAGAUGAACAAAGGUGAUGUGGCACUAGGAGACUUUAUACCAGAUGCCCUCCCUGUUACUGCGUUUAGAGGAAGAAAAGCAGCACAUGAGACCAGAGCUUCUUCACUGGAAUAAAUCUUCACACUGUCCAGCUCCAAACUGUG
Boleophthalmus pectinirostris (great blue-spotted mudskipper) is the source of this 257-nucleotide long non-coding RNA. RefSeq lists it as uncharacterized. The record is from RefSeq and is a predicted model, not a curated record. The transcript has 3 exons. NCBI's taxonomy places the organism in Eukaryota, Metazoa, Chordata, Actinopteri, Gobiiformes, Gobiidae.